AGUGAACGCUGGCGGUAGGCCUAACACAUGCCAGUCGAACGGCAGCACAGUAAGAGCUUGCUCUUACGGGUGGCGAGUGGCGGACGGGUGAGGAAUACAUCGGAAUCUACUUUUUCGUGGGGGAUAACGUAGGGAAACUUACGCUAAUACCGCAUAUGACCUACGGGUGAAAGCAGGGGAUCUUCGGACCUUGCGCGAUUGAAUGAGCCGAUGUCGGAUUAGCUAGUUGGCGAGGUAAAGGCCCACCAAGGCGACGAUCCGUAGCUGGUCUGAGAGGAUGAUCAGCCACACUGGAACUGAGACACGGUCCAGACUCCUACGGGAGGCAGCAGUGGGGAAUAUUGGACAAUGGGCGCAAGCCUGAUCCAGCCAUACCGCGUGGGUGAAGAAGGCCUUCGGGUUGUAAAGCCCUUUUGUUGGGAAAGAAAAGCAGCAGGUUAAUACCCCGCUGUUCUGACGGUACCCAAAGAAUAAGCACCGGCUAACUUCGUG
This 492-nucleotide ribosomal RNA is filed under the name uncultured bacterium. RNAcentral describes it as "partial 16S ribosomal RNA". It matches the Rfam family "Bacterial small subunit ribosomal RNA", at positions 29 to 507 of the family's 1533-position model. The record is from RNAcentral.